UAAAUACCCCCCUGCUGAUUACAUGGCAGUAAAAUACCAGCUGGAUAUAGACUUGGAUGGGCUUAACUCUUGAAAAGCAGUUUAAUAAGAUGUUCUCGACCAAGAUAGAGAGCAUGACACUAUCACAAAAGAGAACAAGAUGGGAAGGAGUUUUUUAAUACAAGAAGAGUUUGCUUCACCGAACAACUGCAUUUAAGACUCAUAACCUAAUGAAAAGGAUAAGGUGUCUUCCCUACGCUACUGCUAACCACCACAACGGAGUUGAGUUCGGGGUGUGUGUGCUGAGGUGCCUUCGCAAUCCCACCGCAGGGCCUCCUGAGACCCUCUGAGGCAAUUGUGCAAACCUUACCUGAGGCAGAACAGAGAGGAAAGGGACGUAACACAAGUUUGCUGGCCAGCAAAUGGAAUGGAGAGAGAAGGGAAGAUGUCACAGUCGCAACAAAACAUACACACACACACACCAGCCCGCAACUCUUCUCCUCAUUCUUUCCAGGGCUAUUUGUCCAGCAACACUGUAGAGAAGUUACCUGAAUCUCCUAUAAUGAAAUAAGAGAAAUAAAAACAAAACAAAACAAAACAAAACAAAAAAACAAGAAAGGAAACUUCUCAGUAUAAUGUUUGGUAUGACGGUCCUUGGUUAUUUAAAUGCAUCCUCUGUUCCAAGGUCAAAAAAGCCAGUUUCUGGCCUGAAAGUGACCCCACCCAGCCUCUUUUUGUUCUUCUAUUGAAGUAGGUAACAGGAAUGUUGCUCAUGGACUCAUGGGAGGUGACACUGGCUUUAUCACCCUCUUUGGACUGAUGAAAUAGAUGAGGCCUGAGAAGUGAGGUCAUGUACCAAGGUCACAGAGUGAUAAGUGGCAAAGACAGGUGUUGAACUCUGUUCUAUAUUGUGUACAAGGCCUCUUACAAUAGCUCACAUAGAACUCACCAAAGCUGACGGCUGAAUUAUUUGUUGCAAUAUUGCUCUCACACCUUGUGCCCAACUGGCAUGGACACUUGGCAGAGCCUGGCUUUGCAGCCAAGUGAGGCAGCAAUUUUAAUCACCACCAUCUUGCGGUUAAUCUGCACUGUACGGCUGUCAUUUUCCUGUUGGUCUGAAUGGGAAAACCUCCUCAGAGCAAAACACCAGACCCCCAGACAAGACCUCUGCUCACUGUGGAAUGCUCCAUUUUAAAUGCUCAUCAGAAGCCAGGAUAACAAAUGCAGUAGAUUGGUCUCUAGGGAGUCCUGCUUUAUCAUCACUGAAGUCUAAGAAAGCGGUGUCAGCUUCCAACACAGUGGCCUGAGCCUUGGCAAAUUCAGAAGUAAAAUCUGAACUGUCUUUACCUACAGAGUACAGACGCUGCUCAGGGGGUGAGAAGAGGCGGCAUCUGGCUAACGUUCCAGCUCCAAAAUCAAUCAAGGCUCCUGGAGCUCCUACAAAGCACUGGAGACACAGAACACAGUGUUUCUCUCUUGCUUGUCCCUCCCUAAGCAGAUGGAGGCUUUCACUGGAAAUGCCUGUUGUCAGGCCCAGGCGUAUAGAAAAGCAAACUUCUGGGAGGGGAAAAAAGAUGACCAGGCUGAGCCUAAAGAGACUUCCCAAAGUUUCUAAGAAUAAUCAAAAGACCUUUUCGUUAUGAGAAGCAUCUCUGGAGUACUGAUCUUACUACAGGCCAUGGUAGUAGAGACUCAGAAGAGACUUAGUUAAAUCCUACAAACCAUGGUAAGGGUAGUCACCAUCCGUCACCAUACAAAAUUAUUACAAUAUUUUUUACUGUAUUCCCUGUGCCAUACUUUAUCAUUCCUGUGACUUAUUUAUUUCAGAGCUGGAAGUUUGUUGAAUAUUUCAUAAUGUAUUUAAGUGUUGAAUCACUCUGUUGUACAUUUGAAACUAACAGAAUAGUGUAUGUCAACUAUAUUUCAAUAAAAAGACCAUCCAACUGAUCCAUAUGAGUUCCAAACAGACAUUAUUAAAUUGGACGACUACAGUUUUCAAGAAAUUUGCCCAGAAGAUUAAAGCCGUCAGAUACUUGAUGUGAAAAGCAGUUUUCACUUUGGAAAGCUAUUUUUUACAUAGGAUUUCCAAUGUCUAUAGAGUUUGAGUCUGAGGUAAUGUACUUAGCUCUAUGGCCCCCUGAGUAUUGAUUACAGAAUAGGGUUUUGAGGACGUCAUGCUGCAAAAAACCCUCUUUCAUUAUCUAAGAAAAAAAUAUGGCUGCCCUGUUCCCCACCUCCCUGAUUCACAAAGAGCUUGACUACCUCCAUGCGAAAUGACUCUCCUGUAGGGCUCGAUGACCUUCAUGUCAAUACGCUGUUCCUGUUCUCCAAUCACCACAGUUCUCCACAACCGGUUGUCCUCUCGCUCCUCUUCUGCUGUAUACUCCGGAAUAGACUCUGACUCUUGGCCAGAAUCUUUGUUAGAUGUGGAGACUUCUGGAAGUGAAGCAUACAGGAGGACUGAGGGAGCAAGACUCCACAGUUGAGGCAGUUUAACCACAACCCAUCUCCAGACAGAGUUAACCUGAUGGCACUCCCCAUGUUGCACAACCAUCCUGACCACAUAAAGGACGCUUAUUUAUUGAUGGACUGAACAGCCAAAUCCAUUCUAAGGCCAAGCUGAGGGUGGGGAUAGAUGCAGGGCUAGAGCUGCCUUGCCUCAGUGGGCCAAGGGAGGACAGGCUGGUACCAAUUCAUCCUUGAUCACAGGUUAAAGACUGGACUUUUCUCAUGGGGUGAAGGGCUAUUUAUCAAGCCCAGGCAAUUUUGUUUCCUUGGAUCACACAUCCUAAGUGGUUAGUAUCUUGAUGACACCACCAGCCUAGACCCUGACUCUAAGACUUACAAAGGACUUGGGCUCCCUUCCCUAUUAGAAGUAAAUUUGGGCAUAAGUAUGAUAUUACCUUCAAUGGAUUUUUCAAAAUUCCCCACAGAAAGAUUUUACAUUAAGUAAGAAACAAACAACUGUAUAGACCAGAAAUGCUCCAAGGCCAAAAAUUCAUAACAUUCCUAUUUGUGGGUGCAUGUGGCAAUAAAAAAGCCCACUGAACACUCUUUGGGGAAACAUUUACUACCCACUCUUGCACAUCCAGAAAAAAAAAGACAGCAACCGUGCUAAGUUUUCUGAAAAGAAUAAGCAGCAAUUGUUUUCAUUUUUACUUCAUCUAUGAGUUUAACAAUGGUUAUUCUUUGUAUGUUUAAAUAAUUUGAAGGAAAAGAUUAUUUACAGCCUUCACAAUAAUUCUGUGGCAUAUUAUCAUUCUUAUUUUUCCACUCAUGGGAAAGGACUUUUGAUUUACAUUGUACUUCUUUCAUUUUAUGCCACUUUGAUAAUUAAGAACAAUACUUAACUAGAUAGCCACAAUGUGUCAGGCACAGUAGUAGGUAUUAUAGUAGUAAACCUGCCCAUGCAAACACUGACUUUAAGUAGUUUGCAAUCACACUAUACCCUGAGUGUGUGAUUCUCAUUCUCUUUAUUUUACCGUGAGGCUGGGAAUUCCUUGGGCCGAGAAAUUGUACCUGAACACCUCUGUUAUUUUUUACAUUUUUUAAGAUUUUAUUUAUUUAUUCAUGACAGACAGAGAGAGAGGCAGAGACAUAGGCAGAGGGAGAAGCAGGCUCCCUGCUGGGAGCCCGAUGUGGGACUCGAUCCCUGGAACUGGGAUCACACCCUGAGCCAAAGGCAGAUGCUCAAACCGCUGAGCCAUCCAGGCGUCCCAACGACUUCUAUUUUUCACCUCCAUCAACUAACUCCACAUUUAACUUGGAAACCUGCACAGAGUUCUCAGUGAAAACUGAGGUGAAUGAGUAAAUAAAGGAAAGCUUGGACAGUUUCCUGAAAGUAUGGGUACUCGGUAAGGAGACCACAACAAAGCCAUGAUGUUCUGGAAGAUUCCUCAAGGCACAUCAAAUGUGUCUGAUUAUCCGUGACUUAGAACAGCACACUGAAAUUGAGCUGGGAAGCCAUCCUAGCCUUUUUGCCAACACCAACAGCUACCAUCACCUACAGAGCCUUGCCUCACUCUGGCUUCCUCUCCAUUCCCAGAUGAGUGUGCCUCAUCUUACUAAGGACAGAAAACAACAACCUUUGGCUUCAGACCAAGCUCUGCAUCACUGGCACAAAUCCAUCCAAUGGCAUUGGACUCUCAGUCUGGAAUCCCUUCCUGCUUCUCCUUUCCUCUUGGCUGAGGACCCCUGGAUGCUUCUCUUUACUCCCUUUCUGGGACCCUGUUUUCCAUCUGGUCUCUGGGCCCCGAUGUGGGCUUGUCUUCAAUGUUCCUAUACGUGCACACUCUACCUUGCAACAAACUCACCAUCCACCAGCCCCUCUAUCCUUGUUUGGGACUUUCUGGCUUGCUCUUCCUUGACCCGUGUGAUCUGUGUGGGGUGGAGGGGUGACUGUUUUGUUUUCUGCAUGCUUUUACUGAGGCUACCACAUUUUUAAAAAUGUGUAUACCGUAUUAUUUUUCCUGCUUCUAAAAUAAAAUGCAAAUAAAGGUUGAAACAAUGCUGACAUUGUCCAGAAAAACUGCAAAAAUCACUGGUGCCAUUCUCACUCAUUGUUUGCUGUGUAUUCUUUUUAUUACGUAGGGAAGUAUACAAGCAUACUUCCCUCCCAAAGUAUGAUCAUUCUAUAUA
Long non-coding RNA from Canis lupus familiaris (dog), 4617 nucleotides. RefSeq lists it as uncharacterized. The transcript has 4 exons. The record is from RefSeq and is a predicted model, not a curated record. NCBI's taxonomy places the organism in Eukaryota, Metazoa, Chordata, Mammalia, Carnivora, Canidae.